This is a non-coding RNA of Cordylochernes scorpioides, 88 nucleotides long. Lineage: Eukaryota; Metazoa; Arthropoda; Arachnida; Pseudoscorpiones; Chernetidae. The record is from the annotation of a GenBank genome assembly.
UAUUUUUUAGAAGCAUGCUAGGAUUCGAACCUGUAAUUUUCUAAUCCAUAAUCAGACGCGUUAACCGUUGCGCUAAGUUGAAAAAAAC